AGAUCAUAAACAGUAUGAGUAAUAAAUAAAUAAGAACAUUGUGUAGAGCAGGUCAUGGUGAUUGGAGGGACAAUGGUGGUCAGUCUGCCCUCUUUGGGAAGGUGGCACCACUGAGAUGCUCCUUUCCUCAGUCUGUGAGGCAGUGCCUGGAGCUUUCUGAGCCAGAAGAUGCCCACGGAUGGGUGUACUCCUCGAGAGGAGAGGAUGGAAGUGCCCCUGGAUGGAAGUGCCCGACAUCACAAUCCCAGAGUAGGAAGGACCCUGGGAUGUUAUCCAACCUGACCUUCCAAGUAAUGCAGAAUGCCUUUGGGCAGCUUCCGAGCAGAUGGCUUUUCAAGUGCCCGUGGGGUGCCAGGAGGCUGGCUUCCUGUUUGCCCGGGCGGAGGCCAUUCCUGUGGUCACACACUGAAAGUGACAGGCUGGCGUGCUGGCGAGGAAAAUCACAGGUGGUUAGAAGUGUUCAUUCCAAAAUUUUCCUUUUCUGCCUCUUAUGGAAACCAUCCUCCCAAAGAUGAGCAUCCAGGAUGCCUUUGACAAAAAUGCUGGUUUUUCUGGAAUCACAAAGACAGGCUCCCUGCAAGUUUACAAAGUGAGUUUGUUGAGAAGCAUAUUGUAUGUAAGGGUGAGUCUGAAAGGCCUGGCUUGUGGGGGCCUAAUCAUCUCAUUGAUUAGGAAAUAGAAGCCCCAAAAGGCAAAAUGACUUCUCUACAACAGAAGUAAGGCUGGAUCUCAUAACUACCAGGCCUGUGGCUUUAUGGCUGUCAUACCACUGACAGGGGCUUCCUCAGUGGCUCAGUGGUAAAGAAUCCACCUGCAGUGCAGGAGAUGCAGGAGACGUGGGUUUGAUCCCUGGGUCAGAAAGAUCCCCUGGUGGAAGACAUGGCAACCCACUCCAGUACUCUUGCCUGGAGAAUUGCAUGGACUGAGGAGCCUGGUGGACUAUAGCCCCAAGGGUCACAAAGGGUUGACACGACUGAAAGACUGAGCAUACACACCACUGAUACACCAGCAUCCUUUAUCCUUCUUCAAGUAAGUAUUCCUAAGGUCCAACUACAGGGCUCUGAGAGUCAAGUCUUUACUUGGCAGGAAGCUGUGCAGAUGAGCAGCUGCCUGGCACCCUUCUUCUGCCCCGCAUUUGACCUCAUCUUCCUAAAGCCUAGGUGCUCACACCAAAGUCAUCAUGUGACUGCUCAUAGGCCAGGGGUACCCUGUAGAGGCAUGGUGUUUGGUCUGCAACUGAAAGAAAGGAAGGAAGGCAGAGGGAGGGAGGGAAACAGCUGACUUCUGUAAGAUACUGGAUCUAAAAUGUUAGAUUCUGAUUCUCUUGAAAGAAACCACCAAGCCAAAUUCAGUGAGCCCAAACAGUUAGCCCGAGGGAGCCGUCCAGGUUCCCCAUGUGCCCUCUUCCCUUACGAGACACCUCCUCAUCUCACAGGGGUUACCUGCCCAGCCCCUGUCCACAUGGGUCUCUGACCCCUAACCUGAAAUUUUAUUUCGAUAACAGAGUAUAAUGGUCAGAAGUGGUCCUAGACCAGAGAAGAGGAUCUUCAUCACUGGUGCUCAGGGAAGGAGUGCAGAGAGAUCUCACUGGAACAUGAAGGCUGUCAUGGACCUUUCCCAUGGCAUGCUUCUCUGCACAUACCAAAAACAAUGAUUAAAAUUAAAAUUUUUUACAUAGCUCAAAAAAGAAAAACAAAGAUUGUAAUUAUCGAGAGUCCUCCAGGCCCCUGCAGUUUAGGAGGACAUGAAUUUUUUCCCUAUCUGACCAAACCAGGAGGUACUACUUAGAAAUCCCUAACCUAGGUUUUCUAUACAACAAUGGUAGCAAUUGCAAUUGCUCAAAACCAGGUCUUUCCAGUCUGUAUUUGUAACCAUUUAACUCUGUACUUCAGAGCCAACUGACCAGUAACCACACAGCUGCAAUUAGUUGAGGAAACCCAAUGCCACGUAUCACCUUGGAGCCUCUUGAGGGGGUAUCCCCAUUCCCAGACAAAACACCAAAACCCAGUAAAUAAAGGUGUCUGCAUGGGAAUUGCUGAUGUUUAUUUUUCCUUUGGCAGGUGGCCCACAAGACUGUGCUGGACAUCAGCGAGGAGGGGAUACAGGCCACAGAAGCCAAUGCUACCAAGCUCAUAGUCCAGUCAAAGGACGGCCCCCUUUAUCCUAUCAUCUCCUUUAACAGGCCCUUCAUACUGCUGGCUGUAACCAAAGCCACAAAGACCUUGGUCUUCAUCAGGAAAGUUGAAAAUCCCACUCAGUUCUAGGUGAAAAAGGCCUCUUUGUUAACUUCUGGGUUUUAGAUAUACCUAAUGAUAGUCUUAGGAGAAGGCAAUGGCAACCCACUCCAGUACUCUUGCCUAGGAAAUCCCAUGGACAGAGGAGUCUGGUAGGCUGCAGUCCAUGGGGUCCCUAGAGUCGGACACGACUG
This is an RNA transcript of Bubalus bubalis (water buffalo), 2428 nucleotides long. It is a transcript of the gene named serpin A9-like, with no coding region annotated. The transcript is spliced from 2 exons. The record is from RefSeq and is a predicted model, not a curated record. Lineage: Eukaryota; Metazoa; Chordata; Mammalia; Artiodactyla; Bovidae.